AGACAAGUAAUGCAAUGAUUUGAUGACAAUCAAAUUGGAAUAUCAUCUCUCUUGCUUCAUAUGGUGCAUUUUCUCUUCUCUUGAAACAUGGGAAUUGUUUGCCAAGGAGUCAAUCAGUUAUUUCUUCUUUGUCAUUUUGACCCGAUGGAGGUUAAGAACAGUUAACUGUGCAACAUGAAGCCUCUCAUUAAUACAGGCCAAAUAUAGCACUUCCCCACACUCCCUCAACUACAAUCUUAAUCUUGCCCUGGAGGACCAAUUUUGCUGGUAAUUGAAGCCUGUUUUCCUCUGGAGAAGAUCAAUUUAG
This is a long non-coding RNA of Mauremys mutica (yellowpond turtle), 307 nucleotides long. RefSeq lists it as uncharacterized. Lineage: Eukaryota; Metazoa; Chordata; Testudines; Geoemydidae. The transcript has 3 exons. The record is from RefSeq and is a predicted model, not a curated record.